AUGAACGCUUGCGGCGUGCCUAAUACCUGCAAGUCGAGCGAACAGACGAGGAGCUUGCUCCUCUGACGUUAGCGGCGGACGGGUGAGUAACACGUGGAUAACCUACCUAUAAGACUGGGAGAACUUCGGGAAACCGGAGCUAAUACCGGAUAACAUGUUGAACCGCAUGGUUCAACAGUGAAAUACGGUCUUGCUGUCACUUAUAGAUGGAUCCGCGCCGCAUUAGCUAGUUGGUAAGGUAACGGCUUACCAAGGCAACGAUGCGUAGCCGACCUGAGAGGGUGAUCGGCCACACUGGAACUGAGACACGGUCCAGACUCCUACGGGAGGCAGCAGUAGGGAAUCUUCCGCAAUGGGCGAAAGCCUGACGGAGCAACGCCGCGUGAGUGAAGAAGGUCUUCGGAUCGUAAAACUCUGUUAUUAGGGAAGAACAAAUGUGUAAGUAACUAUGCACGUCUUGACGGUACCUAAUCAGAAAGCCACGGCUAACUACGUG
RNAcentral lists this ribosomal RNA (496 nucleotides) under uncultured bacterium. RNAcentral describes it as "partial 16S ribosomal RNA". It matches the Rfam family "Bacterial small subunit ribosomal RNA", at positions 29 to 507 of the family's 1533-position model. The record is from RNAcentral.